GUUCUGGUCCGUCGGUAAUUAUCUUUCGGACAACAAGAGGCUUCAACAUGGCUGUCCCAACGGGGAGAUCUGUGGUCUUCGUGACUGGAAACGCAAAUAAACUAGAAGAGGUGAUCAGAUCCUGGGGGAUAAGUUUCCCUACAAACUAGUGUCCAAGAAGAUUGACUUGCCUAAAUACCAAGGUGAACCAGAUGAGAUCUCCAUACAGAAGUGUGGAUGGGCCAGUCAUAGUGGAGGACACCUGUCUGUGUUUCAGAGCACUGUGAGGCCUACCAGGACCCUACAUUUGUGCUGAGCUACCCAAGGAGGUGAAGAACACCAUUUCCCAUCGGUAUCGCGCUCUGGCAGCCAUGUCUGAAUAAUUCUCCUCUCAGGACAACGGCACACCAGACAGCAAGAAGAAGAAACACAGCGAUUAACCCCUGAUCUAGCAUCUGAUUACCAUUAGAGGGAUACAAAAUCUGACCCUGUAUCAGUGGUUGGGGCAACUUCUACCUACUCCGAUUUAUGGGUCUCAGAGUCUGAGCCAACCAAUCAAACAGCUGCGACGUUGAAAGUUGAAUUUAGAUAUUGUUGCUUCAGAUAGUGCUUUCAAAAAGUAUUCACACCGAUUUGACUUUUUGCACAUUUUGGUGUGUUACACAUGGGAUUAAAAUUGGAAAAAAAUUGUCAACGAUCUACACAAAAUACUCAAUGUCUAAGUGGAAGAUUUUUUUUACAAAUGUUACAAUUUAUGAAACCCAAAACACUAAUAAAUCUUGAUUUGAUAAGUAUUCAACCCCCUGAGUCAUUACAUGUUAGAAUCACCGUUGGCAGCGAUUACAGCUGUGAGUCUGGGGA
Coregonus clupeaformis (lake whitefish) is the source of this 840-nucleotide long non-coding RNA. RefSeq lists it as uncharacterized. The record is from RefSeq and is a predicted model, not a curated record. The transcript is spliced from 5 exons. Lineage: Eukaryota; Metazoa; Chordata; Actinopteri; Salmoniformes; Salmonidae.